UAUGUGUUUUUUUUUAAAUAUAUAGUAACAUUAUUUGUGUGUACCUGAGACUCGGUGAUUAGUUCUCAGAAUGUCGCAAAUCUCAAAACCGGUCUAUUUAAAGAACAGCGAGAUCCUCGCUCCAGCGGAGGGUAAAAUUACCAAUUUUCUAUUGGUACAGUGUGUUACCAAAGUGGUCGGAGAUACCGUUAAAUGUAUACAGUUAGAUAGAGAUCUACGGAGAAUUUAUUUGACCACCAUAGAGGGCAGGGACAAACUGUUGCUACAAGGCAUAGACGUAGAUGAUCAGCAUAUCAGUGUCUAUGAUUCCAACCCGUAUUCUACAGGACUGGAAGCGCCCGAUGACAAAUCUUUAAAAAUCACAAUCUGCGGUGUUCCUCUUUCAGUGGAUGAUAGUGCCGUUUUCGAAAUGUUAUCGAAAUUGAAGGUUUCUCCAAAAACAGAAAUGUAUUAUGAAAAAAUUAGAAAUCCUGAAACAAAAAAAAUGACAAGUGUACUAAACGGCAACCGUUAGGGCAACAUACUUCAGAUGUUUUGCAGCAUUUUUUUCGGUCAGCCAUUUCGCUUGUUCAGAGUUCAACAGUUUCUGCUGUACAGUGGUGCUCUAAUUUAUUUCAAUUAUCAAAAGGGAAAUAACUCUGUCUCUAUGAGAAACACUUUAGAAUGGGAAUCUCUAACAUGUUUGUUGAAUUAAAAGGGAAUACAUUAGUAUACUUCUGCACUUGCAUGUAUAUGGUACGUUGAGAGGAUCGGAGGAUCAGCAAUAUUUGGUUUAGUUGAGUACACAUUUGGUACAUUUAUAUAAUAUUUCCCAUUACACCCCACCCAAUCAUGACGUAUGCUUUAUAUUCCGUCUUAAAAAAAAAAACUUUUUAAUAAAAUGUCUCAUUAUUUGUUAUAAAAUUGUUAAUUUUAAUAUCCUGCAAGAAAAAAAAAAGAUUGAUAAAAUGACAAUAUCCUGUUGAGUUUGUGUAUUUAGCCAAAUACUACCAAAGAAUAAAUAAAGACAUUAAAUAAUA
Molecule: long non-coding RNA, 1019 nt
Organism: Magallana angulata
Lineage: Eukaryota; Metazoa; Mollusca; Bivalvia; Ostreida; Ostreidae
Exons: 2
Source: RefSeq, a predicted model, not a curated record